RNAcentral lists this long non-coding RNA (266 nucleotides) under Elaeis guineensis (African oil palm). RNAcentral's name for it is "long non-coding RNA (EGUI_LNC065069)". The record is from RNAcentral. Lineage: Eukaryota; Viridiplantae; Streptophyta; Magnoliopsida; Arecales; Arecaceae.
AAAUAUGGAUUAUUUCCUAGUCUAUAGGCCAUUUAGGUUUGAUCAUGAUGAUUGGACUUAGAAAAUUGAUGUGCAGCUAGAUAUUUACUCAUAAAGUGAGUGGGGCUCAAACAUAUUACGCAAACUUGUUGCGUAGAAAGAAAAGAUGGAUAGGGAGAGUGUUUAAUAGCCAUUAGAUGAUCUAGUCUAUGGGAUAGCUUAUCCAAUCUAUUAUCGAGAUCCAUCUUAGAUUGUUCUAAUUAUUCAGAUAUGAAAUCAAGGGGUCU